CCGUUGCCGAGAUUGAAAUUAAUACCGAAUGGAUUUCAUACGGAAAAUUAAAAGCGCUCGAUAAAAA
Molecule: unclassified non-coding RNA, 67 nt
Filed under: Flavobacterium johnsoniae
Lineage: Bacteria; Pseudomonadati; Bacteroidota; Flavobacteriia; Flavobacteriales; Flavobacteriaceae
Description: Flavo-1 RNA
Source: RNAcentral